Molecule: unclassified non-coding RNA, 253 nt
Filed under: uncultured Planctomycetia bacterium
Lineage: Bacteria; Pseudomonadati; Planctomycetota; Planctomycetia
Description: contains 16S-23S intergenic spacer region
Rfam family: Bacterial small subunit ribosomal RNA
Source: RNAcentral
GACGAACCGUGCAAACGUUGUUCGGAAUCACUGGGCUUAAAGGGCGCGUAGGCGGGCAGGCAAGUCGGAGGUGAAAGCCCGCGGCUCAACCGUGGAAGUGCCUUCGAUACUGCAUGUCUAGAGGGAGGUAGGGGCGUGCGGAACUUCCGGUGGAGCGGUGAAAUGCGUAGAUAUCGGAAGGAACACCGGUGGCGAAAGCGGCGCGCUGGAUCUCUACUGACGCUGAGGCGCGAAAGCCAGGGGAGCAAACGGG